CGAACGCUGGCGGCGUGCUUAACACAUGCAAGUCGAACGGAAAGGCCCUUCGGGGUACUCGCGUGGCGAACGGGUGAGUAACACGUGGGUGAUCUGCCCUGCACUUUGGGAUAAGCCUGGGAAACUGGGUCUAAUACCGAAUAGGACCACGCGCUUCAUGGUGUGUGGUGGAAAGCUUUUGCGGUGUGGGAUGGGCCCGCGGCCUAUCAGCUUGUUGGUGGGGUAAUGGCCUACCAAGGCGACGACGGGUAGCCGGCCUGAGAGGGUGACCGGCCACACUGGGACUGAGAUACGGCCCAGACUCCUACGGGAGGCAGCAGUGGGGAAUAUUGCACAAUGGGCGCAAGCCUGAUGCAGCGACGCCGCGUGAGGGAUGACGGCCUUCGGGUUGUAAACCUCUUUCAAUAGGGACGAAGCGCAAGUGACGGUACCUAUAGAAGAAGCACCGGCCAACUACGUG
RNAcentral lists this ribosomal RNA (460 nucleotides) under uncultured bacterium. Its description in RNAcentral is "partial 16S ribosomal RNA". It matches the Rfam family "Bacterial small subunit ribosomal RNA", at positions 30 to 507 of the family's 1533-position model. The record is from RNAcentral.